UACGGAGGGUGCGAGCGUUGUCCGGAAUCAUUGGGCGUAAAGGGCUCGUAGGCGGUUUGUCGCGUCGGGAGUGAAAUCCACUGGCUUAACUGGUGGCUUGCUUUCGAUACGGGCAGACUGGAGGUAUGCAGGGGAGAACGGAAUUCCUGGUGUAGCGGUGAAAUGCGCAGAUAUCAGGAGGAACACCGGUGGCGAAGGCGGUUCUCUGGGCAUGUCCUGACGCUGAGGAGCGAAAGUGUGGGGAGCGAACAGG
Molecule: ribosomal RNA, 253 nt
Filed under: uncultured bacterium
Lineage: Bacteria
Description: partial 16S ribosomal RNA
Rfam family: Bacterial small subunit ribosomal RNA
Source: RNAcentral